Molecule: ribosomal RNA, 207 nt
Filed under: uncultured bacterium
Lineage: Bacteria
Description: partial 16S ribosomal RNA
Rfam family: Bacterial small subunit ribosomal RNA
Source: RNAcentral
UACGGAGGGUGCGAGCGUUGUCCGGAAUCACUGGGCGUAAAGGGCGCGUAGGCGGCGCGGGGAGUCAACGGUGAAAGCUCGGCGCUCAACGCCGAGUCGGCCGUCGAUACUCCCGUGCUCGAGCACUGUAGAGGCAGGUGGAAUUCCGGGUGUAGCGGUGGAAUGCGUAGAGAUCCGGAAGAACAACCGGUGGCGAAGGCGGCCUGA